UAGCUAACUUAAGGCGAUGGCCUCAUGGAGCUAAUAAGCGGACAGCUUUAUUCUUAUUUUUAUAAGAAUGCCAUAUUUGUAUGGCGAUAACUAACAUAUAUAUAUAUAUAUAUAUGAUUAUGUAUUAAUUAGGGUAUAAAAAUUCUGCUGUCACAGGGAUUCAAAUAAAUUGAAUUAUUCUCAAAAAAAAAUAUGUCAUUUAGAGAUAAAAGUCCUCAUGCAAUUCAUCAAAUCCUAAUAUACCAUAUCGUAGAAUUUAUUUUAAUACUUUCUAUUUCAGUUCCAAAUUUCACUUCUGCACGUGUUUCAUGAGGUGCGUUUAAUUUGUGUGUGUGUGUGAGCGUGUGUAAAAAGGGUAGCUGGAUAUAUAUCAGAUUGGGUCAGCUGGGACAGCCUUCAAGUGAUGACUGUACAGCCACAGGUCCUCUUUCAGGAUUCCAGAAAAAUUAUUUAUCACACCCCUGACCAGACACGUAUUGUGCCUCAACGAUUAAGGUACCCUAUAGAAUAUCAAGUGGAGGAUCUUAGAGUGGCCAUUACCCUACAUUAACAGGAGUGAAUGCUGCAAGCUUUGCAGACCCAAGGGAGCAUGGAUACUCAAAGACUCCCUGGAAGUUGGAUCACUGAACAAUCACCAGGAAAUUUGCCGUCCUUGCAUCCAUUUCAACCACUACCUGCUGCAAGCAUGGGAAACCCUGUUCUCCAACUAGACCCGGAAGGGCCCUUAGAAUCCAAAAGCAGCCCAAGGGAUAAAUCCUUUGUUCCCCAUCUUUUAGGUCACACAAAACUGGUCUAACGGAGAUAAGCCAUCCUUACUGACCCUGGACUAUUUAUUUGUUGCUGCCCAAAUGACCAUAAUGGAUUCUUGCCUCCCAGAUGUGAAGAGUUACAUUUGUCUUUGGCAUUAAAGUUUGAUGAGCUGUUCAUAAGUUUAAGGUCUUUGUGGAUGCAAAACCAUUGGUCACUAUGACCGGACAUAAACUUAACUACUUAUAAAUAUAUAUAUAUAUAUAGACACACACAUAGUGUAUAAAGACAUGACUUUCAGACCUUUCUGCACUAUGCAUUAUUUACUUUGUGUUCCCUGAUAAUGGCUGUUGAUAGCGCAUUACCUCCUGUUUCAGCACAAACCAUAUCAGAGAUCUACAGUCAAUUGGCUAAGUUACUGCUAUGAGAGUUUAUAAAUUUGGUGUUUCAUAUAACAUUUCAAUUUAUUUUUUCUACUUCUUGAGUUCCCCCUUGUUUGAUCUGGAGGAAAGGGGACUCAACCUUACAUUUUUAUUUCUCUUCUGUUUUGAAAUCUCAUUCUCUUUAUUUUACAUUCUAACCAUGAAUUCACCCACUGCAUGCCCCCAUAACCAUUAUUUCUAAAUGUAGUGUACAUUGAAAUAAAUCCAAGGCAAUCUGACUGCAUGCAACUAAAGUUAUGUCCAAGUUAAGAGCUUUGUUUCCUUCAGUGAUUGUUUUGGAGGAAAAGCAUGAACAUUAUAAAAUACUCAUUCUCCCCCUCCCCAAACAAAACAAAAUCUCACAUUGCAAGAAACCCUUUAUUUUUUUAAAUCCUAUGCCUCUCCCUAUUAUCAGAAUCUCUAAUUAAUUGAGUCAUUAUUCUGGUUAAAUACUUGACGAUGUUAUUAACUGUUCCUUCUAAAAUUUAAGAUUUUGUGCCUAUCUUAUAAACAAUUUCUGUCUCUUUAACAUCCUGAGUUCAAAUCGUAGCAAGGUCAACUUUGCCUUUCAUUCUCCUGGGCUCGAUGAAAUACAGCACCUGUCAAGUACUGGGGUCAAUGUAAUUGACUAACUCCUUCUCCUUAAAAUUUGCUGACCUUCUAACAUUUGAAAGAAUUAUUAUUAAAAGGAUGAUGGAUUGGCAGAAUUAUUAGAGUGUCAGAUAAAAUUCUUUCCAGUCUUUAGUUACAGUCUGAGUUCAGACCCCACAUGUUGUCAAUUUUGCCAUUCAUCCUUUUGCUGAUUGACAAAAUAAAAUACCAGCGAAGGGCAUAAAGGGUGGGUGAGGAGUAAUCACCUAACCCAUGAAAACUACAGGCUUUGUGUUUAUACUAAAAACAAUUAUCAUUAAAAACUGUUGAGAUAGUGAAUUCUUGGGAACUCAUUGAAUUCAUUGGUGAAUUCAUUAAACUAAAUGCCCCCAAUUUCACCUUUCCAGGAGUCAAUAAAUAUGUACCAGAUAUGUUUUGAGGUCAUGCUAAAAUUGCCUAUUUAUCUUCAUAUUUGUCUUUGAGGUGAGUGCUACAGAGUUGAAAGGUCCAAACAAGUCUGUGGCCUAAUUUGUUUCUCAUUGAAACCAAUUCCCUUUACUUACACUGAUAAUGUUCUUGAGAAAAGCACGGACAUUGUGAAAUUUUAAUUUGGCCUUUGUGCCUGGUGCUGUGAACUUAUAACCUUUUAACCAUUUCAGACUGAUUUCAGUCAAUACAAACUAAUUAUGACAAAUCAAUAAAAGUGUUGGACAUUUUA
Molecule: long non-coding RNA, 2478 nt
Filed under: Octopus sinensis (East Asian common octopus)
Lineage: Eukaryota; Metazoa; Mollusca; Cephalopoda; Octopoda; Octopodidae
Description: uncharacterized LOC118764302
Source: RNAcentral